Molecule: ribosomal RNA, 253 nt
Filed under: uncultured bacterium
Lineage: Bacteria
Description: partial 16S ribosomal RNA
Rfam family: Bacterial small subunit ribosomal RNA
Source: RNAcentral
UACAGAGGGGGCAAGCGUUGUUCGGAAUUACUGGGCGUAAAGGGCGCGUAGGCGGCCUGCUAAGUCGAACGUGAAAUCCCCGGGCUCAACCCGGGAACUGCGUCCGAUACUGGCAGGCUUGAAUCCGGGAGAGGGAUGCGGAAUUCCAGGUGUAGCGGUGAAAUGCGUAGAUAUCUGGAGGAACACCGGUGGCGAAGGCGGCAUCCUGGGCCGGCAUUGACGCUGAGGCGCGAAAGCCAGGGGAGCAAACGGG